This 274-nucleotide ribosomal RNA is filed under the name uncultured bacterium. Its description in RNAcentral is "partial 16S ribosomal RNA". It matches the Rfam family "Bacterial small subunit ribosomal RNA", at positions 523 to 796 of the family's 1533-position model. The record is from RNAcentral.
AUACGGAGGGUGCGAGCGUUAAUCGGAAUUACUGGGCGUAAAGCGUACGUAGGCGGUUGGUUAAGUUAGAUGUGAAAGCCCCGGGCUUAACUUGGGAACUGCAUUUGAAACUGGGUAACUAGAGUUUAGUAGAGGGGAGUGGAAUUUCAGGUGUAGCGGUGAAAUGCGUAGAGAUCUGAAGGAACACCAGUGGCGAAGGCGACUCCCUGGACUAAAACUGACGCUGAGGUACGAAAGCGUGGGUAGCAAACAGGAUUAGAAACCCCGGUAGUCC